GAAGGGGGCUAGCGUUGCUCGGAAUCACUGGGCGUAAAGCGCACGUAGGCGGCUUUCUAAGUCAGGGGUGAAAUCCUGGAGCUCAACUCCAGAACUGCCUUUGAUACUGGAGAGCUUGAGUCCGGGAGAGGUGAGUGGAACUCCGAGUGUAGAGGUGAAAUUCGUAGAUAUUCGGAAGAACACCAGUGGCGAAGGCGGCUCACUGGCCCGGUACUGACGCUGAUGUGCGAAAGCGUGGGGAGCAAACAGGAUUAGAUACCCUGGUAGUCCACGCCGUAAACGAUGGAUGCUAGCCGUUGGCGGGUUUACCCGUCAGUGGCGCAGCUAACGCAUUAAGCAUCCCGCCUGGGGAGUACGGUCGCAAGAUUA
RNAcentral lists this ribosomal RNA (369 nucleotides) under uncultured bacterium. RNAcentral describes it as "bacterial SSU rRNA". It matches the Rfam family "Bacterial small subunit ribosomal RNA", at positions 527 to 896 of the family's 1533-position model. The record is from RNAcentral.